UAACCAGAAUUCGAGUUAUCGCGGUAAAUUUUUAUCAAAGGAAACGAAAUUUAGUUCGAGUUAGCGGGGAAUUCGAGUUAUCCGAGUUCGAGUUAACCAAGUUAAAAUGACUGAAAAGUGGGGUCAAAUCCGAGGGAAAUGGGACCUGGUUCGAGUUAAUUAGCGGGGAAAUUCGAGUUAUUCGAGUUCGAGUUACCGGGGUUCUACUGUGAUAGUUUUCGCCCCAGUAAUAGUAAAAAUCUAAAAUAUAUGAAUAACAACCCCGAUUAACAACAAGACCUCGUUAUGGCGAACAUAUUUUUUAUGAUUGAUUGUGCCAGCCACUUGGGCCCUUCGUUAUAUCGAGAUAGUCACUGAUAUAACACCGCGCAGGAAACGUGAGGGACUGGAAACAGCUUCUCAAAUGAUCAAAACAUUCCUGUGCACCGCCGGUCGUGAGUUAUGAUGUGUGCUCCAACUGACUUCUCAGUGAAUAACUGAACUGAUCUUCCCGUUUAGAACACAAGAGUCUCGACUUAUUCAUCGGCAAGUCUUUUCCAGGAUAACUGGUUGACUAAUACGUUCUGAAAGAACCUGGCUCAGAAGCAUCAAAUAACCAAAGCGGUCCGGCUCAAAGGUAAUCCGCUCAUUGCAUGAGCAGCGCACUAGAGGGAUGACAGAG
Molecule: long non-coding RNA, 661 nt
Organism: Orbicella faveolata
Lineage: Eukaryota; Metazoa; Cnidaria; Anthozoa; Scleractinia; Merulinidae
Source: RefSeq, a predicted model, not a curated record